AUUUGGGAACAUCUUGGUGGUUAGCAUUUCUUAUCAAGUGUAGACAAUUUUAAUCAGGAAGCCUAAAGGAGGUAUACACUUGUUCAUAGCAAAGUAGUUGAGAAAAGAAAAGAACAAGAAAAAGAGACAUAAUGAAGAUACGAUAGUAGAUGGGGAAGGAGGGAUUACCAAGAAUUGAAUUAAAAGAUAAAAUAAUUAGAAAAUAUGUACUUGAACUGUCCAGGUGUUUUUCUCUCCUGCAACAGAAAGGCAUUCUUGCCCAAACUCCUUGGACUUUGUAGUACACCAAUACAAAGCAGGACAGUGGGUGUUGAUAAAAGCCUGGAGAGAGGAAAAACUAACUCCAACCUGGGAAGGACUUUACAUCAUCUUGUUAACCACUGAGACAGCUAUCAGGACAGCUGAAAAAAGUUGGACCAUUACUCCCAAGUAAAAGGGCCUGUGCCAGCCCCAGAGGAGUGGAAGGUGGAAUCUCACCAAGGAGAUUCACUGAAGCUAAAGUUCCGAAGGACUUCAUGGACUAAUAGUCAAUCUUCCUGACAGAAAGGGGGGUAAUAGAGGAAAAAGAACUAAACUUUAUAUUUCUUUUACUAUCUAGAACCAAAGGAAAACCAAGACCUCCCGCAUGUGCUGAUUUUGUUUUGUCUUCUAUCUCAGUACAGGCCCAGGCUGCCUUACCACCUGUCUCUGGCCAUUGUUCCUGGAGAGUGGAUUCAGGUGAAAAGAACUGUCACCUAGAAAUACCAGUCCUGAGUGGUCUCAAUCAUGCCAAGUCCUCCUGAUUUAAGGAAUCAAGGCGUGAGUCCAUGGAAAGUCCCAUCAUAUCCUCUCCAGUGACAAACUCUGCAGCUGGAUGGCCUGAAAAUGAAAUUUCAACCUGCCUUACCUGUUGAAUUGUUUCCAUCUAAGUGGGAGAAAAACUUCAAUGGAUUGGACGUGUUCCUAGAACCUAGACUAUGUGUUGAAAAGUUUUUCUUCUGCUACUGUUGUUUCCUUAGUACUUUCUUUAGUAGAAGGAAGGACCUUGGGCCCAAUACUUUAAGGAACAUUGGGGAAAGAAGACUCAGAAUAUGAAAACUUGCUUGCACAGGAAUCUAAAGAAAAUAUAGGAAGUUAUGAACUGUUAAAAGUAUAAAAGAAUAAAUUCAGGUGGAAAAGGAAAAGGGGGGAUUGAAGGAAAUAAAAAUUAAGGAAAUAAAAGUUAUUCUUUUAAUAAUUGUAGAAAUAAUUGUAGAAAUGUAAUGCCAUUAUAUGAAACUGUCUCUUUAGUACUAAUGUAAUGCUGUAACACAAAUGUAACAAUGCAAUGCCAAUAUAUGACCAAAUGUUUACUAUAUCCUGCCUAAAAAUCUCCCUGACAUAGGAAAUUACACUUUGAGUGGAAAUCCUACUAUCAAAGAAGGGGAUUUUAACCCAAAGUGAGACUUCCAGAUAAACAAGAUAACAGCAGAUGGACGGAAGAGGUCAGGUUAACAAAGUACCACUUCAGAGAAAACCAUUAAGAUGAAAGAGAUGUGACAAUGCAUUGUAGGGCUAUAAAAUGCAAAACCUGAAACCAGGCCAGUGUGCUCCUGGAAUCCAAUCCAUAGGGAAGGAUCCAGGGGGCCGCGUUUGCAAACGCUCCUCUCUUCUAUUCUUUCUCUUUUCUCUUUUAUUCUGUUUCUGUUAUUCUCCAAUAAACCUUUGUUUUGUUAA
Molecule: long non-coding RNA, 1695 nt
Organism: Crotalus tigris (Tiger rattlesnake)
Lineage: Eukaryota; Metazoa; Chordata; Lepidosauria; Squamata; Viperidae
Exons: 2
Source: RefSeq, a predicted model, not a curated record